RNAcentral lists this long non-coding RNA (1319 nucleotides) under Zalophus californianus (California sea lion). Its description in RNAcentral is "lncRNA (ENSZCAG00015008959.1)". Lineage: Eukaryota; Metazoa; Chordata; Mammalia; Carnivora; Otariidae. The record is from RNAcentral.
UCGAACCUCAGGUCCCUUUGGGACCCCUGCAAGCCCCGGGUACCCCCUCAUACCGGCUCGGGGGCCCCUAGCUCUUACCACUCUGCACCGGCCGGGCCACUGGGCGCUGCCAUCGCAAAGGCGCCGGAGCCCGAGCUGCACCGGACCAGGGUCACGGGGUGGCUGGGUCGCGGGGCAGCAGGAAAGUUUCCGUAGUGCCAGCCAGGCGGAGCGGGCCGAGCAGGCGGCGGGCCGGGCAGGAGCGCGCUCCGGCCGGCUCGGUGCCUCCGCCUGUGCGGCGGUGCUCUGGCUCCAGGGCUCCCCCGGCCACCCGGCCGGCCCAGCCCCGCCAAUCGCAGGCCCCGCCACCAGCAGCUCCGCCCGCCCGGCCGGGACGGAGCGGAGGCGGGGAGGGGAGGGGCGGGGGCGCACCUGUUUGGCCAAUCGACCCCACUACGAACCACCUCGCCCCGGCCAAACCGCCGGACUGAGCAGGGCGAUUCCCUCGGCUCUCGGCACACGCCCCCUCUCCGCGCUUGGGCCCGGGAAUCUAGGCCGGGCCACGUGCCCCCCCCCGCCCCUCCCCCGCCCGGACCCGGCCGGGUCGAGCGCGCCGCUGUCUCCGCCUGCCUGCGGGGACCCUCGGUGCGGCCGGACUGCGCUCCUUCCCCAGCCCCUGGGAUGUCAAACACAAAAUCCCGGCUUUAGCCUGGGGUCUAUGGAGAUGGGAAGACUGAGAGGCCAAAGGGAGGCGAACGCUUCUCGGUCGUGGUGGCGAGAUUGCGAUUUUUUCAAACGAAAGCUAAAGCAAACCCACUUAGGACAUCUUCAGUUCCUCCUCUCAUGGGAAGAGCCAGCGAGUGGUGGUGACAUCAGACCCCUGACAGCUUCUAGCCCAAAAUAGCCUUCUCUUUAGACUGACCCUGUCCCAUCACAGCUGCUUCUGCUCACCAUUCCCAGCUGAACUGAUAUUGCCUUCGGUUCCCGUUCCUGCCAUAUCAGCCUCGUCCCUAGCGCCGCGCUAACAAAGCCUCCCAGGAGGCAGGAUUCUCCCUGGGCAAAUGAAGGGCCCUCCGGGCAGCAGUGAUACAGCUCUCAGACAGUGCCUCCAAAUCAAGGUCCUGGGCUCUGGAGCAACCUGGGCUCAAAUCACCUGCCUCCCUGUAUGAUCUUAGCCAUCACUUAACUUCCCAGAGCCUCCGUUGCCUCAUCUGGAAAAUGGAACUAACGGCAACCUACCGGGUGUGUGGUGGUGAGGAGUCGAGCAGACGAAGUCCAUGAACGACCUUGCAUGGAGUCUCGCCCGGAAAAUGUACUCAAUAAAUAAGACUGGUUGUUGU